Molecule: long non-coding RNA, 5084 nt
Filed under: Sus scrofa (pig)
Lineage: Eukaryota; Metazoa; Chordata; Mammalia; Artiodactyla; Suidae
Description: lncRNA (ENSSSCG00035071295.1, ENSSSCG00065026625.1)
Source: RNAcentral
GAUCAGUUAAAAGGUGAAAUGAACACGAUUAAAAGACAAAAAGAGAGACAGAGAUAGAGAGAUAGAGAGAGAGAGGGAGAGAAGAAAAGAAGGAAGAAAAAGAACAAGCUUUCUACAUAUAAAUUCUAAAUUUUAUUCCUCAUGUAGUACAAAGGCAGGCAGUCGAGGGCAGAGAAAGCAGGCAGGGAGAGGGAGACAGGGAGAAGCAAAGAGAACGUGGAGAGAUACGGAGCGAGUGGAAGAGGAAGGAGGAAGGAGAGCAAGCUCCAGGGAACUGGAGGCGCCCUGGACGCCCAGCCCUCCGGCCCAGCCGCCCUCGGACUCUGGACCGCGAGUCGUGGGCACCAGAAGCGAGACUCGGCCAAGUCCUGCCCUACCAGACAGGGAUUGAGAAACGGAAAUUUCACCACCCUCCAGCCAAACUUUCGAGGACUGAUUGCAGAGGAACUGGUGCUCCAGAUGUUGCACUAGAGGCGCUGCAAGUGUGAGCAGAUAUAAGCUGUUUUCAUCAGGGAACUUUGGCAAGAGAAUGGCUGGAUCAGCAAGUCCAUCUCCAUCAUGGAACAACAACUUGAAGCUCAUCUCUGUUGAUGGGCUGAACCCACUGGAUGUGGAAAUUCCUAGGCUAGGCAUUGAAUUGGAGCCGCAGCUGCCUGUCUAGGCCACAGUCACAGCAACACUAGAUCCGAGCCACGUCUGCGACCUACACCACAGCUCACAGCAAUGCUGGAUCCUUAACCCACUGAGCAAAGCCAGGGAUAGAACCCACGUCCUCAUGGAUACCAGUCAGGUACUCUCUACUGCUGUCUGUAGAAAUCAAGAUACUGAUGGCUCAAUGGUCUGCUGGUCAUUACAACAUUCUGCAUUUUAAUGAUCAUGAUAAAUGCUUGGAGAACAUAGAGAUGUUGGUGUUUCAGUGGAAUUAAUGACUACAUCUGUCUUUCGAUUGGUGCGUUCAUUUAAGUCAUCGGGCCUCAUGACAACUUCCCAGUCAGAUUUCGUGGAAAAGAUUGACUAUAUAUAACAUCUAACAUUUUUGAUUCUUGUAAUGGACAGGGUUUUAAACACUGGAAUCACAGUUCUGCCUAAUGAAAAGCACAGGUCUUCUAAAAAGCAAUAACAAAUAAGGUAUUUUUUAUUUUGUAAAAUAGUAUGCACACAUAUGGUAUGCACACAAGGGUCUAGGAUAUAGGCCGAUUUAAUGAUAAUCAAAUUUUAGUAGAAUUUACUUGAUUGUAACAUCUUUCUUUUAGGUUGGAGUAUGGUAUCUUAAAGAAAAUCAGAGAAAUUACUCAUUCUGGGAACAAAGACUUUUGAAAGCUGACAGCUUACUGACAGUUAUGAUGAGCAUUUAUUUCAGGCUUAUAAAACAUAUUAAUCAAACUUGUUCACAGUGUGGUGGUCCAAAGAGGGUUAUUUUAUUUUCGAGAGAUACUUUAAAUAACUGAAGAGCACUGGUAACAUAUUUUCCAUGAAUACAAAGCUACAAUAUAUAUAUUUUUUUCUUUUCUUUUUUGGCCUCCUUGUGGCAUAUGGAGUUCCCAGGCCGGGGAUCAGAUCUGAGCCAUAGUUGUGACCUAAGCUGCAGCAGUGGCAAUGCUGAAUCCUUUAACCUGCUGUGCCAGGCCGGGGUGGGGGGUGGGGAUCAAACCUGCAUCCCAGCCCUUCCAAGAGACUGCCAAUCCCAUUGCACCACGGUGGAACCUCCUAUAAUUUUUUUUUUCUUCAAAAUGAGUAAAUACUUUCCUCAGGCUUAAAGAAUGAAGUACUGUAGGAAUCUGUUUAUUACAAGACUAUUUGCAAAAGACCUAUACACCAUUCGUUGAACCUUGAAAAACACUUGAAAAUAUGGGUAGCAUUUGCAAACUUCAGUGUAUGACAUGGAAAGCUGGCAAGCUGCCUGGCUUCUACUUAAAAGAUUGUCAGUCUGGGAAAAAUAAAUUUCUCUAACUAGACAAAAGUCAAUGUUUUCAUGUUUUACUGCAAUCAAACUGAUAGAGCUGACAAUUUAAUGUCUCAACACUUAAAAUAUCUGUGGAUAAUCAGUUACCUCAAUCAAUCAUAAACACAAAUCCUUCUAUUUUCGAAGCUUGUGUGUCUGUGACUAAGAUAUAAAACAGUUUGGUGAGCCCCUUCCCCGACAACACCUCAUCAUCUAUCCCCCACCGUCCUCCCAAUAUUCCUGAUUUGUCUUUAGCUAUGCAGAUAUUUAUACACAUGAUAUAUCUGGAAAUAACUUUUAACAACUCAAAUGUGAUCAAAUUUAGAAACUUUUCUUUCGCUGUCCUGUUUUAUUUAAUUUUUACGGAUAGUUUAUAUACUAUAUGCCUGUCAGAAAAAUGUGGAAGUGUGCUGGCAUUCCAGCUGAAGACAUCAUUAUGAGUGAAAAAAUGCUCAAGGCUUUUUCAAAGUGGGUGCUGAAGCACACAUUUCCUUUCUCUGACUCUGGGGAAUGCUGCUAGCUACCCCAAACAUAUAGGUAUUUUGGGGUCAAAUGGGGCCCUUAGGAUUUCCUGGUAAGCACACUGAACAGCUCACUUCUGGAAACCAAUCAUAAUGAUGAUGAUGAUAAAGCAAGGGAGGCAGUGACAAUAGCACAAAAAGCUGCCUGAGGAAUUGGAUUCCAGAUAGCUCUAGCUUUGGCAGAGCUGACAGGUUCAGUUCAUGAAGCUUUGGUAUUGAUAAUGACGGGAAACUUCAGACAAUUUUAGAAAUCUGUUUCUAUUAAGCUUUGCUGUAGUGUUUUUGCAACUUGAUAACAAGUUUACUGGGGUACACGCUUCUUUCAACAAAAGAAUUGUGUAGUUGGUAUUACAUUCCUAACAGAUAAUUAAUCUGAGCACAGAAUAAACCAAAUUCCUUGUUCGAAGUAUUCUUUUAUAUAUUUUUUAUGUAUGGUGUAUAUGAUGGUAUAUGUAUAUAUCGACAAACAUAUUCAUUGCUGCUGCCUCCUUUUUGUUUCUUUGAUUAUUUGGGGCUUCACUAUCAAACUAAGCAGAGUUUUAGGACCCUUGGGGCAGCAUCUUUUAGUUCUGUGUCAGGCUGCGUUGCAAAACAAUCAAUCUUGGUCUUGCACUCACUUGGCGGAAGUGCCAUGACACGAAUUGUGCAGUGCUCUGCUCUUGCCAUGAAGCCUGGGUGACAAAAGUUUUUACAAGAAGCUGACUGUAUUUGAGGUUAUGAAUAUGCAAUGACUCUCAUUAGUAUUGAAGCACCAGAGCAGGGGCUGACAUCCCCCGCCACUUUGAGUUGCUGCAGAAUCGGCUAAUGAAUUGUCUUGCUCUUCCACGCACACAGUCUGCUGUUGUGGCUUCUAAGUUCCGAGGGGAGUUGCCCAGUUUGAGUAGACCAUUGACUGCAGAAAUUAAUUGUCAGGAACUACUCUUUGAUUUUGUGAAAUAAUAUUUAGACAGUGCUUAGAUUGUCAAAACAGAAAAGCAAUAAACUUUGCAUAAGAUAAUACCAUGAACAGGAAAAUUUAGAAAGACAUGAGAGUGUAUAUAUGUUCUUUUAUACACUACUAUGUAUAGAUAUGCUUCCAUCCUGGAUCACUGUACAGUAAAUAUAUCUAUAUAUAGAUGAAAUCAAGUCAUAGAAAUCUGACAUUCUGUGGGUUUGUCAAUUAUCCUUCCAUACAGAACAAACAGAGAUGAUAGAAAAUUCCCCAAAUGAAUAGGGUUGAAACACAAAGCUAUUCCAUCAACUCUUUACCAUAUUCUUUCUUUCUUUUUUAUUCCUGGGUCUCUGCCAAACAUUUUGCAGCUCAUACACAUACCAUCUUUCAUGAAUAUGUUACUGAUAAGGAUAUGUUUCUAGCCACUGAUUAAGAUAUCUGAGCUGAUUUGCAGUGUGUAAGAAAAUGCAAAAGUGCUCAGAAACCAUCUAGAAUGGUUCCUUUUCAAUAGGAUAAAUUAAAUGUUUUUCCACACCCCUCCUCCCUUGAAAUUUCCUUUCAACUAAAAGAGAAUUUCUGUGGCUUGCUGCAGAUUGUAAAGAAUGUAUUGAAUUGAAGUGGAUAAUAUAUGCUAAAAGGUAAGAGAUAGUUGUAAGCUGUGCAAAUACGGCAACAAACAAAGGCUAAGUCCUUUUAUUAAGGUGCUUGCUCUAUAGUCAUUUGUUUAAUCUGCAAUGGAAGUGCAUCCCUUGCAAGGAAAUGGAUAUAUAUUGUUUUUUGCAGAGCUUUUGAAGGUAGUGUUAUUAUAAUUGUCAUAUCUAUUAGACCCUUCACUGGAAACAAGAAAAAACUAAAGCCCAAGAAUAUAUGCAUGUAAGAGUACGAGGUAUGUGUAUAGCUUAAAAUAAAUGCAGUCUGACAAAAGUGACUCAAGUUUCAUAUAUCAAACAUGUGUUACCUCUGCUGGCCUUACUGACUACACAUUACUAAGUACAAAUCAGUGAUAAAAUGUCAAGAAAGAUGCAACCAGUCUAGGCCUUUGCAAAGACCAUUAGUCAUUCCACAGAGCUAUGAUAUUAUUUGUUCAUAUAAUCUUUCCUAUUUAAUGGACAUAAUAACCAUCUAUUCCUAGACCAAAGCCACCGAGGGAAAUGUUUCUCUUUUUCUUUUUGGCCCCACCCACAGCAUAUGGAAGUUCCUGGAAUCUGAGGUGCAGCUGCGACCUGUGGCACAGCUGUGGCAAAGUCAGAUCCUUAACCCAUUGCACCACAAGAAAUCUCACCCUAAGUAUAUUUCUAACUAUAAGGAAGGGUCUACUUGGUUAUGUCAAAGUAAAGUAUUCAACUCAUUCAGAUUUUAUAAUAUAAAACACAUUCAGAUUUUGUAAUAUAAAAAUGGAAACAGUUCAGCUGAAACAAUUAUUUUCAGGCUCAGACUAUUCAAAUGUAAUGGAAAUAUUAACCAAUAUCUGUUACUAUGAAUAUGAGAAUCACAUUAUAAAUGAAAAUACCUUAGUUUUAAUUACAUAAUUUUAAAAAACUGGUGAUUUUGGCUCUAAUUAGCAUCUGCAUUCUAGACUUUGUGAUGGCUGUGAAAACGUUAUUUAUGGAAGGUUUAUUCAUAUAUAAUUUGGUGAUUGUUGCUUUUAUCAAAUGUUGGAGUCUAAUGAAAUAAAAUGCAAAGAACUUGA